AGUGCUGUGUUCCUCAACAGGGGAUGCAUAUGGAAAAUGUCAUUCAAAAUGAAGUUGAAAUUUCAGUUCUAUAUCAAUUUCAAAUAGAUUUGAAGUCCUAUAUCAAUUUCUUCUGAACUUUAGUAAAAAGGCUUGAAGUACCAAGCUGUUUGCUAGAGCUCUGACGCAUUAAAACAGGUGGAUUUACAAUGAGGAAAACACGAACUGGCAAAUAACUCAGGUCUUUUGUUACUUUUCUUUCAAGGACUGGCAUUAGUAAUGGUACUUUCUGGGCUGAACUAAGGUGCAGUGUUAAUGGCUGCAAAUUACUGGAAGCUACUUUGGAAAUAGCCAAUAUGUGCCAAUCUGCAGUAGCUGUGCCUUUCUCCUGAGCUACUAUCUCACUCUCUGGAAUCUCACUUUUCAUUUAGCAACAGAGACAGCGUUCCAGGUGCUGUGAUUGGGAACGCACAUCUCAAAACCAGGAAAUGAAGGUAAGCAAGGCAGGUAUGGGUCUGCAGAGAACCUGGGACAAUAGCUCUAAGAUGUCUGAAUUGGCCCGUUCACCUCGAUGUAUUAACUCAGGAUGUUCCUGGGGCUGAUAUUGAAAAGUUAACAUGAGCUACCUUGGUCUUUCUGUGAGAAAGGAGAAUAGAGAAUAAUGACAGAUCUCCCCAUCUUAAUAUCAUGCACAUCUUUUAUUGGUGUCAUGAGUCAGCAGCAUCUAAGAAGAGCCGUUAUGUAUUCUGCUGCUCUGCCCCUUCCACAGGCAGGAGAAGACUGAGCCCAAAAUCGAACUGAAGGUGUGCCUUGAUAUUUGAGCAGAGAUUAUCUCUUGGUCAGAGUAGGGUCAUUCAUAGGAUGUUAUGGCUGAAGGAGGUUGAAUCCUACAAUUGCUCUCUCCCCCAUCACUCUCAGCAGAACUGCCCUUCUCAGCAUCAGCUAGCUAUUAGAUCAGCUUAGCUAUCAUGUCAAAUCACAAAGGGGAGAUCUGAGCAGCUUAAAACAUGACAUGAUAAUAUUUUGAUUAGCUGAACUAUCUACUGUAAACAAUCUGUCACAUUUGCACCUGCAGAGUGAAGCUAGGUGGUGAAAAUGAUGUGCAAUGUUUGAUCACACAAAAUACUGGACUCUGAAAUACUGAGAUGGAGACUCGAGAAGCCCCCAGGCAGCAGUUCAAAUCUGCACAGCUGUCGAGAAGCUCCCCCCGACUUUGGCAAAAGCAAGCAGAUUCUGGCCUCGGGCUUGGCACCCUCUUGAGCUGGAAGGAAAGCUGCUCAGGUGUCCAGGAUGCCGAUCUUGUAGGCUGAAGAUCUGGGUUUGACACCCCUUCUGUUUCAGGCUCUGCCACAGCCCUUGGCACCUUCCUUAACCUGCCAUGUGCCUAUGCUCCCUACUCCAUUUGUAAAAUGGGAAUAUGGAUACUUCCAUGAGUGUAGUUCCUGGGUAUUUAAAUCCAUUUCACUCAGUGAACUAUUAAAUACUAUGCAGGUAAAAAUUGCUGAGCUGCUCUCAGCAAAAACAGAGCAGGUGCAGGAACUGGUCGGAGACUUCAAGGGAGCUCGGAAAGGGAGGCGAACUCAGGGCAGCAAAGACAGAAAGAGCUGCUCAUGGCUGGGAGAUUGGAGUCUGACAGAUUUGGGAGCCAGUUUGAGAUCUACAAAGAGGAAGGAAGUAUUUUCAAUGAUUUAAAUGUAUAUAACCUAAUGAAUAGGUGUAGCCAUUUUGAAUUAGCCUGAGAUAUGGAUGUAGUUUUGGAUGAUUAUUUUUCUUUAUACUAAGAUCUACCAUAAUGUAGUGAGAAGAUAAAGGGCAUGCACACUCUCUCUCUUUAUAAAGCACCAUAUAUGGCUUUAUAGAGUGAAUGUUUUAUAAAAUAAAAUACUUUCAUAAUAAAUUUUUAAUUGUAAAAUAGGUAGUAUUCUUCCCUUCAGUGUAUGUUACAUUUCUCCUUACCUGUUACCUUAGCCUGUAAUCACCUGUCACAUUGAGGGAUUGCAUUUAGCUAUUUCAAAACAUACAUGUACAAAUAUAUGUGUGCAUGGAUACUUAUAUGCACUGUUUGUUUGGGUUUUUUCGUUUUUGCCAUUUGGCUAUCUUAUAGUUAUUCUGCAAGAAAAUCAGUUAGAAGAUGUUCCAAGGGAAAAGAAGAUGUUUCAGUCAAACCAAAAAGCAAAUGCAAAUGACAUUUUGAGCAGAGUAGAGUUGUCCGGUAGUAGCAACAAUUUUUCUCCUUGUAUAUAUCUUGGAAAAGCUGAUCUAUGUUGUUCUCCAGUUAGCGAUGUAUUAUCACUGUUUUGAAGUAAUACAUUGUUAGGAUUUUUCUUUAUUUUAUGGAGAAGAUGCAUUCCUCAUAGAAAUUUUUCAGUGGAGCUAUCAAUACACAAAAUAAAUUGUCUGUUGUUGAAUCUGAA
Molecule: long non-coding RNA, 2393 nt
Organism: Dromaius novaehollandiae (emu)
Lineage: Eukaryota; Metazoa; Chordata; Aves; Casuariiformes; Dromaiidae
Exons: 2
Source: RefSeq, a predicted model, not a curated record